CUCAACUUUACAGAGAGAAAAGAGGAAGGAAGGAAAAGGGGGUGAUUCUGUCUUCUCUUCGCCCCCUCCUGCUUCUUUGCUGAAUGCUGCACGUUAUGCUCAGCUCUGAGGAUAGCAAAACAAUAAAGCUACGGUGCCUGCACCCCAGGAACUGCCAACAGAUCGGAGGCAUUCGAUAUUGAAACAAAUUAUUACACUACUGUAUGGUAUGACCUUGGGCAAAUUGCCUGACCCCUCAAAAUCUGUUCCUUCAUUUAAAGAAUGGAGAUUAUAGAAGGACCUACAACCUCUUGGGUUGACUGAAGAUUAAAUCAGAGAAUACACAUAAGCACCUAGCUCAGUCCUUGGCACCUGAUAUGAGAAAUGUCCCUGGGUUACCCUACAAGCCACAUCAAAGGCAGAGAGGUUGUACAAGUCCUAGGUCUUUGACAAAAAAUAGUAUACAUAGCAGUCCUUAGCUGUCCGCAGAAACUACCAAGAUGACCAAGCCACAUGUUUGCCAUUAGACUCCUGGAAGAUUGGCCCCCAAAAUACAUGAACACCAGUGAGCAUUCACGAAACAGAUACCUUAAAAACAAAGUCAAAUGGUGGUGCUCCAGUGUUGUGGUACAAUUAGGGGCUUUGAGAUCAGACACAUCUGAGUUUGAAUUCUCUCUCUGCUGUGCAGCUUUGUCUAAAUUAUCUAAAGCUCUCUAUCCCCCAAUUGCCUCACUAGUAAAAAAGAAGAAAUAACAUCUACCUGCCAGGGCACUGAAUUAGGAUUAAAUGGAUAUAUAUGUAAACUGUCUAAGUACAAUGUUUGCCAUAUGGUAAGUGCUUAAAAAUAAUUCCCUGAGCCCUUUAGCAUGCUGACAAGGACUAAUUUGAUACAAACUAGAAGGAGUGAUUUAAGGCAUAAGGGAUGGAAUGGAGGGACCCAAGGCUUCCUGGGGGUGAUGGCACAAACCCAUGAAGUAAGGAAAGCAGGAGACAGUUAAGAGGCUAUGCCUAUAGUCCAGACAAUGGCUCCACAAGCUUGAACUUGGAUAGCACCAGUGAGGAAGACUACUUGAGGGGGUCGUGAUAGUGUUAGGAAGUGCGAGUAUGCAGGUGACUCCCGAUAUUCGCAUCUGUGUGACAGCAAGAGCGGUGCUGCCCUUGAAGCCAUCAGGGAGGAAGCGAAGCCGAAGCGAUGACUUCAGUCAAAAAUGGUCAUUUGCAGCGGCCGUCCAGAAGCUGGCGACUGAUCUGCCUCGCCCGG
Hipposideros armiger (great roundleaf bat) is the source of this 1240-nucleotide long non-coding RNA. RefSeq lists it as uncharacterized. The record is from RefSeq and is a predicted model, not a curated record. The transcript has 4 exons. NCBI's taxonomy places the organism in Eukaryota, Metazoa, Chordata, Mammalia, Chiroptera, Hipposideridae.